UACGGGGGGGGCAAGCGUUGUUCGGAAUUACUGGGCGUAAAGGGCUUGUAGGUGGCCAACUAAGUCAGACGUGAAAUCCCUCGGCUUAACCGGGGAACUGCGUCUGAUACUGGAUGGCUGGAGUGUGGGAGAGGGAUGCGGAAUUCCAGGUGUAGCGGUGAAAUGCGUAGAUAUCUGGAGGAACACCGGUGGCGAAGGCGGCAUCCUGGACCGACACUGACGCUGAGGAGCGAAAGCCAGGGGAGCAAACGGG
Molecule: ribosomal RNA, 253 nt
Filed under: uncultured bacterium
Lineage: Bacteria
Description: partial 16S ribosomal RNA
Rfam family: Bacterial small subunit ribosomal RNA
Source: RNAcentral